Long non-coding RNA from Serinus canaria (Common canary), 1003 nucleotides. RefSeq lists it as uncharacterized. The record is from RefSeq and is a predicted model, not a curated record. NCBI's taxonomy places the organism in Eukaryota, Metazoa, Chordata, Aves, Passeriformes, Fringillidae. The transcript has 5 exons.
GCAGCUGAUUCCGGGGUGGAGGCACAGGCACUCCUCACUCUUGCUGAUCUCCAGAUCCUAAUCCUCACUCACCCAAAAAGCUUUGCAGUCAUUGCAGGGUAGGAACCUUGUUACAGGUUCAUUUACCAGCUCGUUCGCUAACUCACUAAUUCUCACGCAGACCAGGUCUGAGAACCAUUUCUUGAUGCCUUUCUGCCAACGCAAGGGCACUCGGAUGCCAAGAACGCCGAGGGCCGUGGUCUUUGCCCAAGUUUGAUGCAGCUGGGGAUGCGUCAGCCUGCGGAGCCCACCCUGACCCGGGGUCACUGUCACCUUCUCAGACCGAACUCUCUCCUUGUCCAGCUCCCCUCCCGCUUCCCUGCAGCUGAGCAGUACUGCCCAAAAAGUCGCUUAACCACUUCCCGAGAGGUCGACAUCCCGCCACACCAUCUCGCUUCACCACCUCCCUCCCGGCCGCCUUUUCUCAGCCUGGAGCAGAGCCAGAGUGGGCUGCUGCUGGGACAGCAGGCCAGAGAGGAGUGCUGGUAGAAGUGGAGCGUGCCAGCAGCCAAGCAACUUGACCUGCUGGCAGCAAGAUGGAGGAGCUGCACCUAGGAAGAUAAGGGAGGGAGCAAUGAUCUGUCUGGAGAAGGGGGAUUUCAGUGCAGCUCUAAGCACAGAUGCACUGGCAGCUCAAAAUCCUGGAAGUAUUUCUUUAUGCACCAAGUGACAGACCUCUGUGGAGCCUGCACACAGCUCUGCCAGCAACAGAGAAGUAAAUUGGCUGUAUUGGUCUAUUACCCACUUACUGCUGCUGAGAAAUACGUGUCUGAGCAGCUGUCAAGGCAAAGCUGUGUGAAUCAUUAAAACGGCUUCUCAGCUCACCACUGAUAUGUCCCCAUGAAGAUCAGGGCUUGUGAAAGUGAGGCAAUUAUGUAUUAUGUAAACCAAGAUUCUUCAAGGCGGGAAAGAAGAGACUGAGAGAGAGUUUGGUGGAGCUCUAUAAACUCAAAUGGGCCAUGGA